AGGAACCUGCCUCAAAGAGGGGGACAACAGUUGGAAACGACUGCUAAUACCGCAUAAGCCCACGGCUCGGCAUCGAGCAGAGGGAAAAGGAGCAAUCCGCUUUGAGAUGGCCUCGCGUCCGAUUAGCUAGUUGGUGAGGUAAUGGCCCACCAAGGCAACGAUCGGUAGCCGGACUGAGAGGUUGAACGGCCACAUUGGGACUGAGACACGGCCCAGACUCCUACGGGAGGCAGCAGUGGGGAAUAUUGCACAAUGGGGGAAACCCUGAUGCAGCGACGCCGCGUGGAGGAAGAAGGUCUUCGGAUUGUAAACUCCUGUUGUUGGGGAAGAUAAUGACGGUACCCAACAAGGAAGUGACGGCUAACUACGUGCCAGCAGCCGCGGUAAAACGUAGGUCACAAGCGUUGUCCGGAAUUACUGGGUGUAAAGGGAGCGCAGGCGGGAAGACAAGUUGGAAGUGAAAUCUAUGGGCUCAACCCAUAAACUGCUUUCAAAACUGUUUUUCUUGAGUAGUGCAGAGGUAGGCGGAAUUCCCGGUGUAGCGGUGGAAUGCGUAGAUAUCGGGAGGAACACCAGUGGCGAAGGCGGCCUACUGGGCACCAACUGACGCUGAGGCUCGAAAGUGUGGGUAGCAAACAGGAUUAGAUACCCUGGUAGUCCACACCGUAAACGAUGAUUACUAGGUGU
This 687-nucleotide ribosomal RNA is filed under the name uncultured bacterium. RNAcentral's name for it is "bacterial SSU rRNA". It matches the Rfam family "Bacterial small subunit ribosomal RNA", at positions 120 to 823 of the family's 1533-position model. The record is from RNAcentral.